RNAcentral lists this ribosomal RNA (120 nucleotides) under Scophthalmus maximus (turbot). Lineage: Eukaryota; Metazoa; Chordata; Actinopteri; Pleuronectiformes; Scophthalmidae. The record is from RNAcentral.
GCUUACAGCCACACCGCCCUGGUUCACGCCCGAUCUCGUUUGAUCUCGGAAGCUAAGAUAGGUUGGGCCUGGUUAGUACUUGGAUGGGAGACCGCCUGGGAAUACCAGGUGCUGUAAACU